Molecule: ribosomal RNA, 497 nt
Filed under: uncultured bacterium
Lineage: Bacteria
Description: partial 16S ribosomal RNA
Rfam family: Bacterial small subunit ribosomal RNA
Source: RNAcentral
GAUGAACGCUGGCGGCGUGCCUAAUACAUGCAAGUCGAGCGAACAGACGAGGAGCUUGCUCCUCUGACGUUAGCGGCGGACGGGUGAGUAACACGUGGAUAACCUACCUAUAAGACUGGGAUAACUUCGGGAAACCGGAGCUCAUAUCGGAUAAUAUAUUUAACAGCAUGGUUCAAUAGUGAAAGACGGUUUUGCUGUCACUUAUAGAUGGAUCCGCGCCGCAUUAGCUAGUUGGUAAGGUAACGGCUUACCAAGGCAACGAUGCGUAGCCGACCUGAGAGGGUGAUCGGCCACACUGGAACUGAGAAACGGUCCAGACUCCUACGGGAGGCAGCAGUAGGGAAUCUUCCGCAAAGGGCGAAAGCCUGACGGAGCAACGCCGCGUGAGUGAUGAAGGUCUUCGGAUCGUAAAACUCUGUUAUUAGGGAAGAACAAAUGUGUAAGUAACUAUGCACGUCUUGACGGUACCUAAUCAGAAAGCCACGGCUAACUACGUG